RNAcentral lists this long non-coding RNA (1310 nucleotides) under Marmota monax (woodchuck). Lineage: Eukaryota; Metazoa; Chordata; Mammalia; Rodentia; Sciuridae. The record is from RNAcentral.
CGGGAAGAGAAACCUGCAGACCCCUCCACUCGGGCAGCCGGCAGUGGCCACCAGCUGGGUGCAGUGUUCAAGGAAUGGGCUUGGAAAUCAGGCGGGUGAGAGGGUGGUUCUGGACGGAGCAAGUGUCAUGGGGACAUCGCUGGGACCAAGCAGGCCCUGCAAUAAGCCAGUUUGCUUCCUUCGCAUCUGGCAAACGCCUGCACCAGCUCCCGGGAGCAGCCCUCAGUCUCCAGGCCCCAGCCCAGGCUCUCUCCUCGAGCCCCAGGGACUACUGAGGGAAGCCGCCGCCUCACCCAGAACCACCCGGGCCUUGGGAAACAUGAAGCCGGGGCUGGAUUCCAGCUUUGCCUCUUGUGGAGGGGUGACCUUGGGGACCCUGUUCACCAUGCUGGGGCAUGAUGUGAGCAGGUCCUAAGGCUCUGCCCGGGAACCCUGGGGUCCCUGGUGGGCUGCAGGCUCCUAAGUCCUGACCUUGACCUGCUUCCCAGGAAGUGUUGGGCUCCUCCAGAUUCUCAGGGUGCCCUGGUGCAGGAGGAUGAGUGGGGCUGGGCCGGGGAGCUGGGUGACAGCAAUGACAGGAUCCUUGAACCCCAAAGUGGCUCCUGGAUCUGAAUCUGCCGUGUGGACAUGUGUGUAGCUGGGCAGCAAGCACAUGGGCCAUGGGUCAGAGCCAGUCUUUGCCCUGCUCCAUACCUUUAGAGAUCUGUGAAUUUCGUUGUGGUGGGUGGACGUGUGGAGCAGGCCUGGGGCCUCAGAACUCUGCAGACUAAGGCAGGAGGAUGGUUGGAGCCCAGGAAUCAGAGACCAGCCUGGGUAACUAGCGAGACCUAUCUCAAAAAUACAAAAAUGAGCCAGUGUGGUGGUGCACGCCUGUAAUCCCAGUCGCUGGGGAGGUUGAGGCAGGAGGAUCUCGAGUUCAAAGCCAGCCUCAGCAAUUUAGCGAGGCCCUAAGCAACUCAGUGAGACUCUGUCUCUAAAUAAAAUACAAAAUAGGGCUGCUGGUGUGGCUCAGUGGUCGAGUGCCCCUGAGUUCAAUCCCUGGUACCAAAACAAACAAACAAAUGCCCUUAAACCCUCUACAUUAUGAAACGCCUGGCUUUGUCACUUUGGCCCUUGUUGGCAUCGGUAGUGCCACUGCCUGGCACAUCUUCUAAGGAACAAACGGAUGGUUGAGGAAGUGAGUGGAUGAAGCCCAGUGUUAUGUCACUGGCAAGAUAGUGUUUGGGGACGACCAGAAAUAUGAGCCUGGGCUUUUCUCAAACCCACCUAUAGCAGAUUCUCAAUUGGGGUCACAGAGCAGUGGAUCUGAG